CGGCGAACGGGUGCGUAACACGUAAAGAACCUACCCUUUGAAGGGGGAUAGCCCUGGGAAACCGGGGGUAAUACCGCAUAAGGUGCAAGAAGCGCAUGCUACUUGCAGGAAAGGUUACUCUAAAAGGUAGUCGUCAGAGGAAGGCUUUGCGGCCUAUCAGGUAGUUGGUGGGGUCACGGCCUACCAAGCCUAAGACGGGUAGCUGGUCUUAGAGGAUGGUCAGCCACACUGGGACUGAGACACGGUCCAG
Molecule: ribosomal RNA, 250 nt
Filed under: uncultured bacterium
Lineage: Bacteria
Description: partial 16S ribosomal RNA
Rfam family: Bacterial small subunit ribosomal RNA
Source: RNAcentral